UAAUUGAAGAGUUUGAUCAUGGCUCAGAUUGAACGCUGGCGGCAGGCCUAACACAUGCAAGUCGAGCGGUAACAGAAAGUAGCUUGCUACUUUGCUGACGAGCGGCGGACGGGUGAGUAAUGCUUGGGAACAUGCCUUGAGGUGGGGGACAACAGUUGGAAACGACUGCUAAUACCGCAUAAUGUCUACGGACCAAAG
Molecule: ribosomal RNA, 198 nt
Filed under: Pseudoalteromonas distincta
Lineage: Bacteria; Pseudomonadati; Pseudomonadota; Gammaproteobacteria; Alteromonadales; Pseudoalteromonadaceae
Description: partial 16S ribosomal RNA
Rfam family: Bacterial small subunit ribosomal RNA
Source: RNAcentral